This is a long non-coding RNA of Antrostomus carolinensis (chuck-will's-widow), 285 nucleotides long. RefSeq lists it as uncharacterized. NCBI's taxonomy places the organism in Eukaryota, Metazoa, Chordata, Aves, Caprimulgiformes, Caprimulgidae. The transcript is spliced from 2 exons. The record is from RefSeq and is a predicted model, not a curated record.
AGAUUGGACUGGUUUAGAUGAAGAUGAAGAUGCACACGUCUGGGAAGACAACUGGGAUGAUGACAAUGUUGAAGAUGAUUUCUCCAAUCAGUUAAGAGCUGAAUUGGAAAAACAUGGAUACAAGAUGGAAACUUCAUAGUUUUUGCUGAAUAUGGAGUGGUUUAACAUUGAACUGUGGGAUAGACUAUAUUGAGAAAAGAAGAAAAGAUGGAAAAUGAGAAGACAGUUCACUAUCUACUUGGAUUUAUUAUUGUUUUUGUAUAAAAAAUAAAGUUUUUAAUCUUA